Molecule: ribosomal RNA, 529 nt
Filed under: uncultured bacterium
Lineage: Bacteria
Description: bacterial SSU rRNA
Rfam family: Bacterial small subunit ribosomal RNA
Source: RNAcentral
AGAGUUUGAUCCUGGCUCAGAGUGAACGCUGGCGGCAUGCCUAACACAUGCAAGUCGAACGGCAGCACAGCAGUAGCAACACUGUGGGUGGCGAGUGGCGGACGGGUGAGGAAUACAUCGGAAUUUGCCCUGUCGUGGGGGAUAACGUAGGGAAACUUACGCUAAUACCGCAUACGACCUAACGGUGAAAGCGGGGGAUCGCAAGACCUCGCGCGGCUGGAGAAGCCGAUGUCAGAUUAGCUAGUUGGCGGGGUAAAGGCCCACCAAGGCGACGAUCCGUAGCUGGUCUGAGAGGAUGAUCAGCCACACUGGGACUGAGACACGGCCCAGACUCCUACGGGAGGCAGCAGUGGGGAAUAUUGGACAAUGGGCGCAAGCCUGAUCCAGCAAUGCCGCGUGUGUGAAGAAGGCCUUCGGGUUGUAAAGCACUUUUAUCUGGAACGAAACACGCAAGGUUAAUACCUUUGCGGACUGACGGUACCAGAGGAAUAAGCACCGGCUAACUUCGUGCCAGCAGCCGCGGUAAUAC